GGGCUGGUAGCUCAGUGGUCUAGAGCAAGCGACUCAUAAUCGCCGGGUCGCAGGUUCGAAUCCUGCCCAGCCUA
Molecule: transfer RNA, 74 nt
Filed under: Microbacterium sp.
Lineage: Bacteria; Bacillati; Actinomycetota; Actinomycetes; Micrococcales; Microbacteriaceae
Also listed under: 3 other names
Description: tRNA-Met
Rfam family: tRNA
About the family: Transfer RNA (tRNA) molecules are approximately 80 nucleotides in length.
Source: RNAcentral